RNAcentral lists this ribosomal RNA (544 nucleotides) under uncultured bacterium. Its description in RNAcentral is "bacterial SSU rRNA". It matches the Rfam family "Bacterial small subunit ribosomal RNA", at positions 777 to 1320 of the family's 1533-position model. The record is from RNAcentral.
AAUAGAUACCCAGGUAGUCCACGCCGUAAACGAUGAGUGCUAAGUGUUAGGGGGUUUCCGCCCCUUAGUGCUGCAGCUAACGCAUUAAGCACUCCGCCUGGGGAGUACGGUCGCAAGACUGAAACUCAAAGGAAUUGACGGGGGCCCGCACAAGCGGUGGAGCAUGUGGUUUAAUUCGAAGCAACGCGAAGAACCUUACCAGGUCUUGACAUCCCAUUGACCACUAUGGAGACAUAGUUUUCCCUUCGGGGACAACGGUGACAGGUGGUGCAUGGUUGUCGUCAGCUCGUGUCGUGAGAUGUUGGGUUAAGUCCCGCAACGAGCGCAACCCUUGUUCUUAGUUGCCAUCAUUUAGUUGGGCACUCUAAGGAGACUGCCGGUGACAAACCGGAGGAAGGUGGGGAUGACGUCAAAUCAUCAUGCCCCUUAUGACCUGGGCUACACACGUGCUACAAUGGACGGUACAAACGGUUGCCAACCCGCGAGGGGGAGCUAAUCCGAUAAACCGUUCUCAGUUCGGAUUGUAGGCUGCAACUCGCCUACA